Molecule: ribosomal RNA, 489 nt
Filed under: uncultured bacterium
Lineage: Bacteria
Description: partial 16S ribosomal RNA
Rfam family: Bacterial small subunit ribosomal RNA
Source: RNAcentral
GAUGAACGCUAGCGGGAGGCCUAACACAUGCAAGCCGAGCGGGAUUUGUUGGUUAGCUUGCUAACUAACAAUGAGAGCGGCGUACGGGUGCGUAGCACGUGUGCAACCUGCCUUUAUCUGGGGGAUAGCCUUUCGAAAGGAAGAUUAAUACCCCAUAACCUAUUGAUUGGCAUCAGUUAAUAUUGAAAGCUCCGGCGGAUAGAGAUGGGCACGCGUAAGAUUAGCUAGUUGGUGAGGUAACGGCUCACCAAGGCUGCGAUCUUUAGGGGGCCUGAGAGGGUGAUCCCCCACACUGGUACUGAGACACGGACCAGACUCCUACGGGAGGCAGCAGUGAGGAAUAUUGGACAAUGGGUGAGAGCCUGAUCCAGCCAUCCCGCGUGAAGGACUAAGGACCUAUGGUUUGUAAACUUCUUUUAUACAGGGAUAAACCUACUCUCGUGAGGGUAGCUGAAGGUACUGUAUGAAUAAGCACCGGCUAACUCCGUG